This 305-nucleotide ribosomal RNA is filed under the name uncultured bacterium. RNAcentral describes it as "bacterial SSU rRNA". It matches the Rfam family "Bacterial small subunit ribosomal RNA", at positions 331 to 655 of the family's 1533-position model. The record is from RNAcentral.
UCUGACCUACGGGAGGCAGCAGUCGGGAAUAUUGCGCAAUGGAGGAAACUCUGACGCAGUGACGCCGUGUAUAGGAAGAAGGUUUUCGGAUUGUAAACUAUUGUCGUUAGGGAAGAGAAAGGACAGUACCUAAGGAGGAAGCUCCGGCUAACUACGUGCCAGCAGCCGCGGUAAUACGUAGGGAGCGAGCGUUAUCCGGAAUUAUUGGGUUUAAAGGGUGCGCAGGCGGAAUGUCAAGUCAGCGGUAAAAUUUCGGGGCUCAACCCCGUCGUGCCGUUGAAACUGGCGUUCUUGAGUGAGCGAGA